This 482-nucleotide ribosomal RNA is filed under the name uncultured bacterium. RNAcentral's name for it is "partial 16S ribosomal RNA". It matches the Rfam family "Bacterial small subunit ribosomal RNA", at positions 30 to 507 of the family's 1533-position model. The record is from RNAcentral.
AUUGAACGCUGGCGGCAUGCUUUACACAUGCAAGUCGGACGGUAACAGGCCGCAAGGUGCUGACGAGUGGCGAACGGGUGAGUAAUGCAUCGGAACGUGCCCAGUCGUGGGGGAUAACUACUCGAAAGAGUAGCUAAUACCGCAUACGAUCUAUGGAUGAAAGCGGGGGACCGAAAGGCCUCGCCCGAUUGGGGCGGCCGAUGUCAGAUUAGGUAGUUGGUGGGGUAAAGGCUCACCAAGCCAACGAUCUGUAGCUGGUCUGAGAGGACGACCAGCCACACUGGGACUGAGACACGGCCCAGACUCCUACGGGAGGCAGCAGUGGGGAAUUUUGGACAAUGGGCGCAAGCCUGAUCCAGCAAUGCCGCGUGCAGGAAGAAGGCCUUCGGGUUGUAAACUGCUUUUGUACGGAACGAAACGGCUCUGGUUAAUACCCGGGGCUAAUGACGGUACCGUAAGAAUAAGCACCGGCUAACUACGUG